Molecule: transfer RNA, 72 nt
Filed under: Ornithorhynchus anatinus (platypus)
Lineage: Eukaryota; Metazoa; Chordata; Mammalia; Monotremata; Ornithorhynchidae
Rfam family: tRNA
About the family: Transfer RNA (tRNA) molecules are approximately 80 nucleotides in length. Their secondary structure includes four short double-helical elements and three loops (D, anti-codon, and T loops).
Source: Rfam by way of RNAcentral
AGCAGCGUGGCUCAGUGGAAAGAGCCUGGGCUUCGGAGUUAGAGGUCAUGGGUUCGACUCCCAGCUCUGCCA